AGCAGUAGCCGCGGUAAUACGAAGGGUGCAAGCGUUAAUCGGAAUUACUGGGCGUAAAGCGUGCGUAGGCGGCUUCUUAAGUCGGAUGUGAAAUCCCUGAGCUUAACUUAGGAAUUGCAUUCGAUACUGGGAAGCUAGAGUAUGGGAGAGGAUGGUAGAAUUCCAGGUGUAGCGGUGAAAUGCGUAGAGAUCUGGAGGAAUACCGAUGGCGAAGGCAGCCAUCUGGCCUAAUACUGACGCUGAGGUACGAAAGCAUGGGGAGCAAACAGGAUUAGAGACCCCAGUAGUCCCUGUCUCUUAUAC
RNAcentral lists this ribosomal RNA (303 nucleotides) under uncultured bacterium. RNAcentral's name for it is "partial 16S ribosomal RNA". It matches the Rfam family "Bacterial small subunit ribosomal RNA", at positions 507 to 807 of the family's 1533-position model. The record is from RNAcentral.